UGGCUCAGAACGAACGCUGGCGGCGUGCCUAACACAUGCAAGUCGAGCGAGAAAAGGGGGGCAACUCCCUGAGUAAAGCGGCGCACGGGUGAGUAACACGUGGGUAAUCUGCCCUGGAGUGGGGAAUAACACCGGGAAACCGGUGCUAAUACCGCAUACGAUAGCGGGAUCUGCGGAUUUCGUUAUGAAAGGAGCAAUUCGCUCUAGGAGGAGCCCGCGGCUGAUUAGCUAGUUGGUGAGGUAAUGGCUCACCGGGGAUACGAUCAGUAUCCGGUCUGAGAGGACGGUCGGACACACUGGAACUGAGACA
Molecule: ribosomal RNA, 310 nt
Filed under: uncultured Acidobacteriota bacterium
Lineage: Bacteria; Pseudomonadati; Acidobacteriota
Description: bacterial SSU rRNA
Rfam family: Bacterial small subunit ribosomal RNA
Source: RNAcentral